Molecule: long non-coding RNA, 1626 nt
Filed under: Homo sapiens (human)
Lineage: Eukaryota; Metazoa; Chordata; Mammalia; Primates; Hominidae
Description: HSALNT0250920
Source: RNAcentral
CUCUCUUCAGAUGAUUUUAUUUAUUCCUUCACAAACAUAUAUUCAGCUUUGUCUACAUGCAGGUCCUGUUUCUGGUACUGGGGAUAGGGUGUUGAAUGAGACAGGUGAGAUCUGUGCACUCCCAGAGACUGUAGUUUAGAGGAAGAGGCAGUGGGAUAAACUAGUGAGCAAAUAUACAAACAAGCUCAUUUCAGACAGUGGGGAAUGCUGUGAAGAUACCGAACAGGGCCAUGAGAUAGGAAGUCGGUGAGUGGAGAUGGGAAGGGCAGGGAAGACUUCUUAGCAAGGUGACAUUUAGGUGAGUCAGAAUGACAAGCAGCAGCCUGGUACUUGAAGUCUUGGGGUAGAACAUUCCAGCAGGGGUGUUAAUGAGCACUAAGGCCCUAUGGAGGAAGGAGCUGGAGAGUUAACAGAAGUGAGAGAGGGGGUGGCCAGAGGUGACAUUGGAGACACAGAAAAGGGCCAGCUCAUGUACAGCAUUGAAGGGCAACUUCAGGACAUUGCUUUUAAUCUAAAGAAGCUGGGAAGUGAUAUUAGCUGGGGUUUGCCCCAGGUGCUGCCAACAGCAGGUGCACAUGCCAGGGAGCCAGAGGAUGCAUGAGUCUCUCCUCAGGAGCCUGAAGACACAUGCCUGGCAGUCAUAGGGGCACUGGAAAUAGUUAGAUUUGGGUCUGAAUAAGCUCAUCCAAACAGUAUAAAUGGAGAUGAGAAAAGACCCCCAGGCUGAGAUCUGAGUUGGCCAAUACUGAGAUGGCAAGCAGAGGAGCAGGUACCAAUGAACGGACAGAGAAGAAGAGGCCUGGGAGGUAGGAGGAAAACCAAGAGGGAAGAACGCAUUUCAAGAAUGCAGAGCGGUCAAGGUUCACCUGUCCUGUCUCCCUGAAAGGAGGACUGCUGGCAAAUAAAUUCCUUCGGCAAUGUAAAGUCUCCUGGAAUGAGUGUUUUUGAGAGAAAUCAAACCCUUAAGCAAGAGUUCAGUAUUAUUAACGCAGUAUUGCAGGGAGGGUUUUCCCUGCCAUGUCUUUGGGCCUUAGUGAUGUCAAUUUAUAACCUUUUUGAGGUUAUCCUGUUGGAGGUAGAGCCAGGAGGCUGAAGACUGUUGGCAGGGAGGAGAUCAAGACACCAUGUUGUAAGCACUUAAAAAUUAAACUCAGCCUGUGAUAUGGCUGUUUAGAGAGACAUUCCUUUUGUUUCAGGAUGGAAGGCAACAUCAUUCUGUAGCACCACAUUGCUUCUGAGUGGACACUUGCCAUUGUCUCAAGCUACCUGUUAGGUUGGGAUCUAACAAGCCAGACAUCUGCUCCUCCAACAGAGCUGCUAACACUACCAACAGGACAUUCUGAAAAUCGUGUCAAAUGUAAUUUUCCUUAGCCUCUCAUGUGAACAGCUCCUCUCUCUGCUCUUCCAACAAGACUCCCAAGUUUUUCCCCUUCCAGGAAGAGGAUCCUUACUACAUCAGCCCUUGGGUGGCUACCUGUCGUGGAUACUGUGGUGGGCUUUGCUCUCAGUACUGAAGCACUUGCUUCCCCAAUGGCUGGGAGUGUUGCUGACUGUGGUUCUCAGUUGAGUUCCUCUUCAGAAUUUGCCAUUUUUGUAUAAUUGACAAAUAAAAAUUGUAUAUGUUUA